GUGGGGAGGAGGCACCGCGCCAGCCGGGCCCCAGUGCGGCGGCGGCGGCAGCGGCAGCGGGAGGAGGCGAAGCAGCGCCGCGCAGCCCGGACCCGCCGCCGCUCGGCUCAGCCGCCAGCCGGCUCCCCGCGCCCGCCCGCUCAUGCCGGUGUGGUGCUGCCGCUGCUCCCUGGCCCGCCACUUCAGUAGAAAUUACAGUGGCCCUGAAAGCGAAGGACAACUGUUGAGCUCCUUAGUGCAGCAUUUUGGUGACAGCCUUGGGAGGAAAGAUAAAAGAAUGCCCUUACUAGAAGAAACCACUCUGACUGGGGACCCGCUCCUGACUGUGCCAGUAGUGGUAAUAGGGAAUGGACCUUCAGGAAUUUGUCUUUCUUACAUGCUGUCUGGGUAUAGGCCAUAUUUGUCUCCUGAAGCUGUACAUCCAAAUCCCAUUUUGCAUAGUAAAUUAGAAGAAGCUAGACCUCUCUCUAUUGUUGACCAAGAUUUAGAAUACUUGUCUGAAGGUCUUGAAGGACGUUCUUCCAAUCCAGUUGCAGUACUUUUUGAUACACUGCUUCAUCCAGAUGCUGACUUUGGCUAUGAUUACCCACCUGUUCUGCACUGGAAGCUAGAACAGCAUCAUUAUAUCCCACACAUAGUGCUUGGCAAAGGACCACCUGGUGGAGCUUGGCAUACUAUGGAAGAUUCUAUGUUGACAAUCAGUUUUGGAGACUGGAUGGAGUUACCAGGACUGAAGUUUAAGGAUUGGGCAGCUAGUAAACGCAGAAGUAUAAAGAGUGACAGAGUUAUGCCAGAAGAAAUAGCUUGUUAUUAUAAACAAUAUGUUAAAGUCAUGGGCCUCCAGAAGAACUUCAGAGACAAUGCUUACAUAACAUCUGUUUCAAGACUUUACCGAGAACAGGAUGACGAAGAUGAAAGCCAAGUGAGUGAAGAUAUUUCAACACAGCAUUUGCAAAUGGAAAAGGAAGAUGUACAGUCAUCACUGAUCAAGAGAAAUUGGGAAGUCAGAGGUUAUCAGAGAACAACAGAUGGCUCUCAGGUGCCCUUCUGCCUCUUUGCUGAGAAUGUGGCUCUUGCGACUGGAACUUUUGAUUCUCCUGGCCGACUACAGGUUGAAGGAGAAGAAUUUCCUUUUGUGUUUCAUUCCAUGUCUGACUUUGGAGCUGCCAUCAGCAAAGGAAAACUACGUGGGAAAGUAGACCCUGUCUUAAUCGUGGGUGCUGGACUCUCAGCAGCUGACGCAGUACUGUGUGCUUACAACAAUAACAUCCCUGUAAUUCAUGUUUUUCGUAGAAGGGUUACUGAUCCAAGUUUAAUUUUCAAACAGCUGCCUAAAAAGCUUUAUCCUGAAUACCAUAAGGUCUAUCAUAUGAUGUGUGCUCAGUCACAUGCUGUGGACUCUAAUCUGCAUUCUGCUUACACCAGUUUUCCUGAGCACCGUGUACUUUCCUUCAAGCCAGACAUGAAAUGUGUCCUACAGAGUGCCUCUGGAUUGAAGAAAAUCUUCAAGUUCUCCGUAGCCUUAGUACUGAUAGGUUCUCACCCUAAUUUGUUCUUUCUAAAGGACCAUGGUCAGGGGAUAGGUCAUAGCCCAAACCAGCCAAUCACAUGCAAGGGUAAUCCUAUUGAGAUUGAUCCAUAUACUUACGAGUGCACUAAGGAAGCCAAUCUUUUUGCAUUAGGCCCACUGGUUGGAGACAAUUUUGUACGGUUUUUAAAAGGAGGUGCACUGGGCAUUGCACGAUGUUUGGCUACAAGACAAAAGAAGAAACAUCAACUAAUUGUUGAAAGAGGCAGCGGUGGGGAUGGGGUCCCCUAAAACAUGCGGUCAUAUAAACUUUCAUAUAUGGAAUUGCAGGCAUACUCUAACAAGCAACACAUUGACAGCUAAAUUCAUUAGUAGCCUCUUUUUUGUUAUGUAUACAAGUCACGCUUGUAUUGCCUGGUAGAGGAUGCUGACACUACGCUACUUCAUCCCUUUCAAAAGACGGAAGUGUGGUCUGCUGUUUUAAGUGCUCUGUCCCCCAACUGGAAUUUCUUCCAGAUAGACAGCAAAUGAGACUAACUUACAUUGACUUGCCUGUGGUCUCUUGCUCAAAGGAAAGAGCACACUUACGCUCUGGAAAGAGAACGUCUGCCCAAGCACUGCCUUUUCUUCUUACUGUUUCACCAAACAAAAUAUACUUAUCGUGAAAGUAUAAAUCGAAGUUAAGUUGUAAGAGCAGAAAGCUUUCCUUGUGAUGAUCUUUGGUCUCAAAGCAAGUGUGUGUAUUUUGAACAAGGAUUAUAUUUAUUUUGCCAUAGUAAUACUGGCAUUUGUAUAAAGGUUUAUUUAGCCCUUAGUAAAGCAGUCUUUACAAGAAACGAAGAGGAUUUCUACAAGUAGAAAAAGAUUGGCUUAACAGUUAAACCAGAUCCAUCAUAAUUUGGUACUGGGAUAAAAGAGAGAACAGCAUUCCUUUAAGCUUAGUUGCUAAUUUGACAAUCCACUAACGUUUUUGUCAAGUGUAUGCCUACACUUCCAUAAGUGCAUAAGGACCAUAAUAUAGGGAUUUUAUAGAGAUCUAUUCUCUAUUACACUGCUAUGUAACUUUCCAAGAAUAUUCUGGUUUACAGUAAAAUAAUAAAGUGCUGAUGUAAGUGCUCUUACGACAGUGUCAAGAUAGUGAAUACCUAAUUUACUUUUGAAAAAAAAUCUGUUUGAAAAGGAAAUAUUGUUGAGAAGUAACUGUAAAACCUGUAAACAAUUUUUCUCACAAUACCGCUAAAGAAGACUGAAUAGGAUCUCUUAUCAGGUGGAGAUAGAGAGCAGACGCUCCCAUCUUCCCUUACUAAGUCCAAGCACCAGCUCCUGCUCUUUUCUAAGACCAGUAGCAGUUCAUGUGCUUUGAAGGGAAUGCUGGACCUACUCACCUGGCAACCCACUAGAAGAGUUCAUCCAAAGUUGUAGAAAAUUUAAAUCCUAAAUGUAAUCAUUCAACCCAGCUUUGAGAUUAGUUUUUUUUUGUUUGUUUGUUUUUUUUACACCUGUCACCCUAAGGGGAGAAAAUGGAAUCUAUUUACUGGGAACCUGCUCUAAGAUAAGUAAACUGAAUACAGCUGGAUAGGAUGAUUUAGUGUAAUCAUAACUGGAAGAAAGACAAUUGGCAUUCUUCUCGAUGGUCUUCACUGAUGGCAAGAAAUGAGCAGUGAGGAACAAUAGGGAGAGAAAGUAGGAAAGAUGACCUAGGAAAGAUUCCCCUAUGAUCCUGGAGGGUUUAAAUUGGGACCAGAGACUGGAGUAUCGCCCUCCUGAAGGAGGUCUCUGCAGAUGCUUGCAAACUGAGUUUGUAGAUCUGGCAAAAGUGGAGAGAUGACUGUAGUGCAGCCUUACAUCUCUCUCCCUACUAAGGCUAAAGUUCUGACCAGCAUGUUGCCAUGCUCCAUGACAAAUAAGCCUAGACGUCUUUGGAUGCUGCAUUUCUGGAAGCCUUGCAUUUUCUACUAUGUAACAGUGAAUCCAUCUGGUUCCUGAAGCUGCAAAAGACUUGUUAAACUUUGUAUUUAGAAUGAAAAACAAUGUGGAAGAGUUUCUCGGUACGACUUGUGGCUGUUUUUGAACUGAGCUGACAAAUGGGAGCACAUAACCUCAACUGGGGAGAGAAAGAGCAUUUGGAAUAAAACUGGGAGACGGUUUAAGAACUGUUUUGCCUUCCUGAAAGAGGAAAAAGUGUCUUACUUGAAAGAGCUAUACUAUCUGGGACUCUAAAGUGAUGGCAACUGAAACAUGCAAGGCUUUGUUGACAUUAGCAUUCAAAUGGAGUCCAAGUAAUGGUGUUGAAGAUGCCAUUCUGGUCCUUGCAGGGGAAAUUGUGAAAAGGGCUUUAAGAAGUUUGGCAAGUUUGAGGAUGAUAGAGGCCAAGGAAGAUCUGGAUUUAAAACACUGAGGGCAGAAAGUUGCACCUUCGAGGAGUUAAAGCUGAGACCUAUGGACAGAUCUUCAUGCAACAGUUGAAUAAUAGCCAGCAUCCCUGGGGCUAUUUUUUAUUUCUCCCCUUAGAAAAAUUUCUUUGUGCCAAGACUUUCUUUCUAGAUGAGUGCAAUGUAAAGAUAAUUUGUCCAGAAUAUCUCAAGUCAGAUAACAGCUUAGAGACAGAGGGAGAAAUAUUAAGCCCAGGUCAGAGGGGAAGCGGUGAGACCAAAAAGGAGGGCUACCAUAGCUGAUGUAUGCUACUAGAAUUACUGUCCCAUCCACCUAGUAUUUUUGUACUAUUUUUGUGUCUUGGAGGAAUGUGGAAAAUGCAUAGCAAAGAUUGUGACCACUGAUGUGACAGAAUAUGCAUCCCAGAGGAAUCUGAGUUCUCUCUGGAAAAAUAUUAAUCCCUUUAGCUUUUUGUCAGGUUGCAGACAGGUCUGCCUGGGGCUGUCCUAGCUCUGUCUGGAGUAGAAGACCCAUUCCAUUUGGCUUAUUGAUUGCCUGUGGAGCCAGUUUGUGUUGAUGAUGCUUGAGAGUGGUUAAGGACAGAGAUGAAAGACGAGGGGUAAAAUUUUCAAAAGCACCUACAUAGAUAAGGGCUUUGAAGGUAAGGACCAAAUAUUUGUCUUCGAUAUAGUGGAAAAAGGGGAGCCAGAGGAAGGAUUUGAAGCAUAGUGCCAGGAUCAACUAGGAAACAGCUUGGCAGCAGUGUUCUGAAUGGACCCAAGGUGGUUGUAGUUAAAGUUAGUGAGGAGGUGGUUCCAAUAGUCAAGUCAUGAGAUUAAACAAGAGGUUUGACAAUCUGAACAAGGAAAAGGUUGGUUCUUAAAGAUAUUGAAAUGGAGAAAUUUCAAGAUUUGAAUAUAGCUUGAUUACAAGGGUUCAGAGAGGGAAGUGUUGAAAGUCUUGGAUGUUGGCAGGAACAAUGGAGCUCGGUCUUUGCCAUGUUCAAUUUAAGUUACCAGAUCAGCCAAGACAGUGAUUCUCAAUCUUUCCAGACUACUAUACCCCUUUGAGUCUGAUUUGUCUUGCAUACCCCCAAGUUUCAUCUCACUUAAAAACUACUUGCUUACAAAAUCAGACAUAAAAAUACAAAGUGUCACCGCACACUAUUACUGAAAAAUUGCUCACUUUCUCAUUUUUACCAUACAAUUAUAAAAUUGGAAUAUAAAUAUUGUACUAACAUUUCAGUGUAUAUUGUACAGAGCAGUAUAAACAAAUAAUUGUCUGACAUUUUAGUUUGUACUGACUUCACUAAUGCUUUUUAUGUAGCCUGUUGUAAAACUAGGCAAAUAUCUAGAUGAGUUGAUGUACCUCCUGAAUACCUCUGAGUACCGACCGGGGCACACGUACCGCUGGUUGAGUACUACUGAGCCAAGAUGUGGAAUAGGUUCUGAGUAGUGAGGCACAUAUUUGAGUCAUAAGCACAAAGAUGGUGGUCAGAGCCUAUGAAAGUGGGUAAGAUUGCCUAGACAUUUCAUCCAGGCUGUGGAGCACAAAGGACAGAUAUGUGGGAAACAGCUAUUGAAAGAGAGGGGAAGGAGAAGAAAGACCCAGCAAACAACAUGCUGAAGGGAAUAAACAUAGUAGCAAAGGAGAGCCAUGGAAGCCAAUGGCUAACAGGAUUUCAAAUACUAGAUGGUCAUAAAGUGUCAAAAGGAGAGUGAAGAUGGAGCAGAAGCCCUUAGCUUUGUCCAGGAAGAGGACAGUGGAAUGAAGAGGGUAGAAGAUGGGUAUUUCAGGAAAUGAUUGAAAAUGCGGUUCACUCAGUUUGGGAGUUUGGGCAAUAAUUGGAAAGGCAAGUGAGGUCAAGGUUGGGGUGUUUAAGAUGGAGACUAAAGGAUGCUUAUAUUGUGCAGGGAAGAAAAGUGAGAAUGGAGCCAAAGAGGGUGAGAAGUGGGAUGGGAUGGGGUCCCGGGAGCAGAUGAAAAGGCUAGAGAACAGCCAAGAAACCUUAGUGGUAGCAAGUGGGUGAUAAGGGCCUGCUGGUGAUCAUGUCUAAGACCUGAGAUACCUGCCAGACUGCAUGGAGAGGUGGAGGGGAAGCGCAGCACAAGCACUAGACUGCCUGAGGAGGGAUGGGGGAGAGCACAGCUUUGAAAUUUUUUGAUGACGCACUGUGCUGGUCAUCGAAGCACUCACCUAGGAUGUGGGAGAACUGGGUUCAAAAACCUGCUCCAGAGCACAUCCCGCUUCCCAGGUGAGUAACUGCUGGGCUAGGACUCUCUCUCUCUCUCUCCCCUAUUGGAGCAGUUCUACUGUAUACAUAAUUAAAUAUUCAUUGGAGCAGGGACUUGAAUCUGAGUCUCCCACAUCCCAAGUGAGUGCCCUUACCAAUGGGCUAUAGUCAGUCUCUCUCUGUGACCUAAUGAAUAUUUAUUUAUACAAGAACAGCUCUUGACAUGAGAUACUGAGACUCACUUCAGAAUACCCUAUAGCCUGGUGGUUAGGGCAUUCACCUGGCUUCAAGUUCCUGCUCUGAAUUAUGCAUGCUUCCAGUUGUCUUUAGUGACAGGUAUCAGGUCUUAAGUGUGCUCAGAGCCUAUGGGAUCAGGCCCUGGUAGCAAGAUAGCUUUGAGAAUCCUGCUUUGGAGCUCAACUUGAGUUAGGAGUCCAAUCCACAAUGUGGUGUCAGCAUUUAGGCACUUGAGUCCCCUAGGCUCCUAUUAGGUUAGAUGGCAGCUGACUGGGGGCUUUGCAGAAUACCAAUGGUCCCUAAAAUGUUGGACUUAGGUAUCUAAAUGCCUUUGUGAAUCUGGGCCAUUAGCCCUGUUUCACAGGUAGGGAAACUGAGGCACAGAGCAAUGAAUGGACUUGACCAAGGUCCCCUAGCAGGUCAGGGGCAGAGCUGAGAUCUCCUGACUACCACUGCUCCCACUGAUAACCUUUUCUUCAUCACCUCAACUUUGUCAAGAAUAAUUAUUCUCUCUCUUCCUUGGUUCACAAGCAUCCCCCUUCCCAUACAGAGAAUGAAGUUUUAGUCUUGCGGCUUUUGGAGGACUUCUGCUUAUUUUUCUUGGACAGAGCCCUUUUCUGUUUGGACAAGGAGUUAAGAAAUGGCAUUUCUCCUCAUUUGAAGAUAAGUAACCUGUGCAGAAGGAAACUUUCCCAGAAGAGGAAUAGAAAAAGGGAUGAAUGCUCAUUACAGCCACAAAAUAAAUCAGUAAAAUCAGGCUCCCUGAACAUGCAGAGCUACUGGCAGGUUGAGCAAUUCUUAGCAUUCUCUUCAACGUGCUUGAGCUGUAUCUGUCCUAAGGAAGACGUGUGCAAGCCAUUUGUGAACGAUGAUGGAGAUGUGUGUUUAAAAAAAAAAAAGCCUUCUCAAUUUCAUCUCGUGCCUUUUUCCACACCAUGUGAAAGAGCUGUGUCUUCUUUAUAAGCCAAAUACUGCGGCCACACAUGAGUACAUUUACACAUGGGAAUAGUUCCCUUAACAAGUGCUUUAACUUGAAGCACUAGGGCCUAUACAUAUAUACUUUUAAUUUGUUAGUAGUGCUUACUGAGAUUAUAGAAAUAGAGGUGAAGUGGGUUUUGAAAAGAUUCCUAGUGCCUAUGAUGACUUAAUACAAAUGGUCCCAAUAAAUAGGUAAGCAGGUUUUGAUUCUAACUCUUAUUCCUACUGGAACAGAACAAAUGAUGAAAGUUUAAAAAUGGAUAUUUGAGGUGAUCUGAUUUCAUUGAAGUUUUGUUUAAAAUGAAUAUUUUCAUUAUAAAAUAGUACAGUAACUUCACUUAUGAAUUUGGUACAUGCCAAUACUGAAAAGCUCAGGCUCUCCUCAGCUUUGAAGACACCAACUUUGAAAAUAGCAGCAGACUGUUUAACAAUUUGAGAAGUCAAGGAUUUAUGUUAGAUCUCUCAUUCACUGGUUGGGGUGAAGGCCUAAGAGCCAGACUCGUAGGGUAUAAUGUAUUCAUAAUGGCUCAUCACAUAACUGCCACUCUUGUGAGAGCACUGACUAUUGCUGACAAAGUUAUAUAUUGGAAUCUAGAUCAAGCCUGUUAUGAAAAAGCAGUAUCUGGGUGUUUAAAAAAACCUCUGACUACUUGGCAUGUAAAAAUAAAUGUAUGUUUGAUAGCUGGCUACAUACGACAGCUGUAACCUACAUUGAUCAUUUCAAGGUGGCAGUAACCAUCUUGCUAACACAUGGAAUCUCUCUUAUUGGACCAAUGUCUGUUGAUGAGAGACAAGGUUUUGAGCUACACAGAACUCUGGGAAAGAAGCAAAACUCUGUGUAGCUCAAAAGCUUGUCUUUUAUUGGACCAACUUCUGUUGGUGAAAGAGAUUACCUCACCCCCACCUCUCAUGGCUACAACAACACUGUAAACUACCUACAGUAGUUUAAACAGUGGUUUAAAACAAACAAACAAAUUCCCCUUAACCUUAAGGUGACUUAACUUCAGCACCUGUAUGCAUUUCUGCAACAGAACUGGCUCUGUUAUUUAAAGUGAAAUUUUAUAAGCCUCUUUUAACGUGAUGCAAGGUUUUAUUUUAAAUGUUACCUAUGACUCUGCCCAUAUUAGGUUUGAAAUAGUAGCCACAGCAGUAUGAAUGAUUGUGGAGGGCAGAAUUCUAAAACUUUCCUGCCCACUAUAGACAGGGAUUUUAUUCUGACACCUAUGUUAUCCAACUGGUAAACAGCAUUGUUGUUAGUAUGCUCAGAAUAAAAUCUCUCUCCACACCAGGUGAAGGAAAGCUCAUCUAGAACCUGCUAGCCAUGAUUUGACUUGUGGUUAACAGGUCUGGUUAACUUUUUAUUCACAUGGUGCACAGCAUUAGAUGUAUUCAAAGAAACUUAAGAGGUCUGUGGAUUGCAGCAGCGUUCACACUUGUGAUUUCUUUUUUGAUUACUGUUCAAGACGACUGCCCAACUUAUUCAGAGUCAGAAAAUGAGGUUACUGCCCCCACCAUGUCUGUUUUAUGUAGUUUAUGUAUUUGUGCUUUGAGCCCUAUUGUACAGCAAAUUAUUACUGUUAUACAAAAAGCUAAACAAAUUAACCGGGUCUUUUUUCAGAACAAUAGAGUAAUAGCAGAAGUGUAUCUCAAACCAACAGAAGAAAGCUUGAAGUGAAGCCGUAAAUAUCUAGAAAGUUGUACUAUAGCACUGCUUUAAAGCAAAUGAGUUUAAAGUCUUGAAACCAGAAAUGUGGACUCUCUAAAUGCCAAAACAAUGUAAAACUGGUUCUGUUUUCCUUUAAUAAAAGCAGGACUUAAAACAACUCUUACAGAUAAUUUAGACUUCCCAUAUAUAUUGUACACUGGAACCAGCAACCAGGGUAUCAAGAUUUUGCUGUAGGUUCAUUGUAAAUUCUCUUGAAUUUAUCUUCUCCUUUUCACAUUAGGAUCAUAUCUGCAGUAAGAGGGGGAAAAAAUGUUAUAAGUAAACAGAUACCAACUAUUUAUUUCAGAUAUUCAAAGCUAAAAUGUUUGAUUUUAAACAGUUAAAAGUUGACAUUUCCUUUUCUGAUAGGGUCAGGAGUACCCUCUACUCCCACCUAAGUCAACAGAUGUUGAGGGCGUUCAGCCUCUUGCAGCACUGUUUUUUAUUGCCAGUAAAAUAAAGAGAGUUACACCUGGA
Chelonia mydas (Green sea turtle) is the source of this 9531-nucleotide RNA transcript. It is a transcript of the gene named oxidative stress induced growth inhibitor family member 2, with no coding region annotated. The transcript is spliced from 7 exons. The record is from RefSeq and is a predicted model, not a curated record. Lineage: Eukaryota; Metazoa; Chordata; Testudines; Cheloniidae.